Molecule: ribosomal RNA, 495 nt
Filed under: uncultured bacterium
Lineage: Bacteria
Description: partial 16S ribosomal RNA
Rfam family: Bacterial small subunit ribosomal RNA
Source: RNAcentral
GACGAACGCUGGCGGCGUGCCUAAUACAUGCAAGUAGAACGCUGAAGGAGGAGCUUGCUCUUCUGGAUGAGUUGCGAACGGGUGAGUAACGCGUAGGUAACCUGCCUGGUAGCGGGGGAUAACUAUUGGAAACGAUAGCUAAUACCGCAUAAGAGUAGAUGUUGCAUGACAUUUGCUUAAAAGGUGCAAUUGCAUCACUACCAGAUGGACCUGCGUUGUAUUAGCUAGUUGGUGGGGUAACGGCUCAUCAAGGCGACGAUACAUAGCCGACCUGAGAGGGUGAUCGGCCACACUGGGACUGAGACACGGCCCAGACUCCUACGGGAGGCAGCAGUAGGGAAUCUUCGGCAAUAGACGGAAGUCUGACCGAGCAACGCCGCGUGAGUGAAGAAGGUUUUCGGAUCGUAAAGCUCUGUUGUAAGAGAAGAACGAGUGUGAGAGUGGAAAGUUCACACUGUGACGGUAUCUUACCAGAAAGGGACGGCUAACUACGUG